RNAcentral lists this ribosomal RNA (468 nucleotides) under uncultured bacterium. RNAcentral's name for it is "partial 16S ribosomal RNA". It matches the Rfam family "Bacterial small subunit ribosomal RNA", at positions 28 to 507 of the family's 1533-position model. The record is from RNAcentral.
GACGAACGCUGGCGGCGUGCUUAACACAUGCAAGUCGAACGGAAAGGCCCUGCUUUUGUGGGGUGCUCGAGUGGCGAACGGGUGAGUAACACGUGAGUAACCUGCCCUUGACUUUGGGAUAACUUCAGGAAACUGGGGCUAAUACCGGAUAGGAGCUCCUGCUGCAUGGUGGGGGUUGGAAAGUUUCGGCGGUUGGGGAUGGACUCGCGGCUUAUCAGCUUGUUGGUGGGGUAGUGGCUUACCAAGGCUUUGACGGGUAGGCGGCCUGAGAGGGUGACCGGCGACAUUGGGACUGAGAGACGGCGCAGACUCCUACGGGAGGCAGCAGGGGGGAAUAUUGCACAAUGGGAGGAAGCCGGAUGCAGCAACGCCGCGUGCGGGAUGACGGCCUUCGGGUUGUAAACCGCUUUCGCCUGUGACGAAGCGUGAGUGACGGUAAUGGGUAAAGAAGCACCGGCUAACUACGUG